AGUGAACGCUGGCGGUAGGCCUAACACAUGCAAGUCGAACGGCAGCACAGUAAGAGCUUGCUCUUACGGGUGGCGAGUGGCGGACGGGUGAGGAAUACAUCGGAAUCUACUUUUUCGUGGGGGAUAACGUAGGGAAACUUACGCUAAUACCGCAUACGACCUACGGGUGAAAGCAGGGGAUCUUCGGACCUUGCGCGAGUGAAUGCGCCGAUGUCGGAUUAGCUAGUUGGCGGGGUAAAGGCCCACCAAGGCGACGAUCCGUAGCUGGUCUGAGAGGAUGAUCAGCCACACUGGAACUGAGACACGGUCCAGACUCCUACGGGAGGCAGCAGUGGGGAAUAUUGGACAAUGGGCGCAAACCUGAUCCAGCCAUACCGCGUGGGUGAAGAAGGCCUUCGGGUUGUAAAGCCCUUUUGUUGGGAAAGAAAAGCAGCAGGUUAAUACCCCGCUGUUCUGACGGUACCCAAAGAAUAAGCACCGGCUAACUUCGUG
Molecule: ribosomal RNA, 492 nt
Filed under: uncultured bacterium
Lineage: Bacteria
Description: partial 16S ribosomal RNA
Rfam family: Bacterial small subunit ribosomal RNA
Source: RNAcentral